ACUUGGAUACUGUGGUAAUUCUAGAGCUAAUACAUGGCGACUAAGCGCCGAACUCACGUGACGCGUGCAUUUAUUAGAACAAAACCAUCCGGCUUCGGCCGUUCUUUGGUGACUCUGAAUAACUCAGCUGAUCACACUGUCUAGUACAGGUGACGUAUCUUUCAAGUGUCUACCUUAUCAACUUUCGAUGGUAGUUUAUGUGCCUACCAUGGUUGUAACGGGUAACGGAGAAUCAGGGUUUGACUCCGGAGAGGGAGCCUGAGAAACGGCUACCACUUCUAAGGAAGGCAGCAGGCGCGCAAAUUACCCAUUCUCGGCAUGAGGAGGUAGUGACGAAAAAUACCGAGGCGAUGCCCAUUCGGGUGUCGUCAUUGGAAUGAGAAAAAUAUAAAUCUUUUAACGAGGAUCUAGUGGAGGGCAAGUCUGGUGCCAGCAGCCGCGGUAAUUCCAGCUCCGCAAGUGUAUAUCUAUGCUGCUGCGGUUAAAAAGCUCGUAGUUUGAUUCGCGUACUUAGCACGCAGUGUGGCCUGACGGCUACUACUGUGAUGCGGUACAUUAUCGUUGGUUUGUCGUUGAUGCUCUUAAUCGGGUGUUAGCGGCUGCUGACAAGUUUACUUUGAACAAAUUAAAGUGCUCAAUACAGGCGUUUCGCUUUGUAUAGUUUCUGGCAUGGGAAUAAUAGAAAUAGGACCUUAACG
RNAcentral lists this ribosomal RNA (698 nucleotides) under Monhysteridae sp. VP-2019. Its description in RNAcentral is "SSU rRNA". It matches the Rfam family "Eukaryotic small subunit ribosomal RNA", at positions 137 to 835 of the family's 1831-position model. The record is from RNAcentral. Lineage: Eukaryota; Metazoa; Nematoda; Chromadorea; Monhysterida; Monhysteridae.